Long non-coding RNA from Poecile atricapillus (Black-capped chickadee), 886 nucleotides. RefSeq lists it as uncharacterized. NCBI's taxonomy places the organism in Eukaryota, Metazoa, Chordata, Aves, Passeriformes, Paridae. The record is from RefSeq and is a predicted model, not a curated record. The transcript is spliced from 3 exons.
GUAUUUUCACUUCUCCAGAAACAGCUCUGCCAGGCAUAGACCUGCUGAGACAGUGUACACUUCCCUACUUCUGAACUCUGACUCCCAGAUCAUAGACAAAGAAACAAAAGGCUAACUGGAGUCUGCUCUGAGCUAUGUGUCUUUAUACAGUGGUUACUCUGGAAACACAGAGGUAGCAGCUCUCCAAGCAAGGGGUUGAACCAUUGCUGAAGGCCCGAGUGAGAAGUAGUCCAGACAGUGCAUAAAACACUGGGUCAAAGAAAGAUUUUCACUCAUAUCCUGUUUCAGAAGGCUAGGUAGCAACAGGGAUGAACACAUGACAACCAAAAAAUUAAAAGGCGGCACAGUUAUGUGUUUGAAAUUCUCUUGUCAUCAUUUCGAUAUUCACCUUCUAAUUUGCUCCAUCUCCUUAUCACUUUAUGUGAACCUUGUCUCAGGAAAAGGUAAGAAAAAUGAAUGCACCAGAUGAUUCAGAUGACUUCCUAUUCUGACACUUUGCAAAGAAAGUAGUGUAUAGAUGUUAUCUGUACAAGGUGAACUUCACCUUGUCUUUCACCACCCGAUUUCAAAAAUAAUAGAUUUAUAAGAUUUCUGUUAAUGUCACCCUUUUCAGCUUGGUUUUUGUUUUUCAUUUUAUCUCUGAACUUGUUACGGUUGCCUAGAACUUAUAGUUCCAGAAUAGUUUAAAUCAUGAAGAAAAAUCAAUUGUUAAUGUUACUUUAACUGCAUCCCUAUCAAUCAGAAACAAAGUUUGGCAUUGAACUGUAAUAUCCAGCUUUACAGAAGUAGUGUACAUCAAAAGUUAGCUCGCUCUGAUGUUAUAAAAAGCUUUCAUGGGAGAAAGAAGUCACAAUUCCUUGGGAUAUUUAUAGUAUUUAAGAAUGCU